AGAAAAGCGUAGACGGAAAUUAGUAAGUCAAUGGAUUAGUUUCAGUGAGAACCAGAUAGUGUGAAUGGUUUAAUUCGUCCGUGACUGAAUUCACUUCCUGAGUGGUUACUGGGAGAUGACGAAGGUAGCCCGGUGUUAGGCCGUUAUCUGACUUAGUGAGUGUUGCUUGCUUAUUUUGGAAAAGGAGAUAAGCGGCAAAACAAGGGUGGUACCGCGAAGCCUCGUCCCUUUU
RNAcentral lists this non-coding RNA (232 nucleotides) under Ligilactobacillus aviarius. Its description in RNAcentral is "Lactobacillus aviarius T-box sequence". It matches the Rfam family "T-box leader". From Rfam's summary of the family: Uncharged tRNA acts as the effector for transcription antitermination of genes in the T-box leader family. T-boxes are found upstream of many aminoacyl-tRNA synthetase genes and some amino acid biosynthetic genes usually in Gram-positive bacteria. Lineage: Bacteria; Bacillati; Bacillota; Bacilli; Lactobacillales; Lactobacillaceae. The record is from RNAcentral.